UGACCCCAGAUUAGGCGAGAUUACCCGCUGAGUUUAAGCAUAUCAAUAAGCGGAGGAAAAGAAACUUACAAGGAUUCCCUUAGUAACGGGGAGCUAAUCGGGAACAACACAACCUUAGAAUCGGGCGGCUCCAUCGUCCGAAUUGUAUUAUGGAGAAGCGUCCUCAGCGGAGGAUCGGGCCCAUGUCCCCUGGAAGGGGACGCCAGAGAGGGUGACAGCCCCGUUGUCCCUGGACCCUGCCACACGACGAGGCGCUGUCUACGAGUCGGGCUGUUUGGGAAUGCAACCCAAAACAGGCGGUGAAUUUCGUCCUAGGCUAAAUACAGGAGAGACACCGAUAACUAACACGUACCACGAGGGAAAGAUUAAAAGGACUUUGAAAAUACAGUCUAAGAGUGCUUUGGGAGGAAAGUAGAUGGAAGCUGACGAUGCACCCGGGUUAGAUGUGGAACGGUGACGAGCUGGUUCGUCGAUCGACUCGAGGUGUGGACCAGCGUGGAUUAGGGGGCGGUCAAAGCCUGGGUUCUUGAUAUGCCCGUGGAAUGCUUUCUCUUUGAUUUUGGUACGAAACGUGCGCUUCUGGCGUGCUUCGACAUCUGUGUGCUCCGGACACUGGCUGUGGGCUCCCCAUUCGACCCGUCUUUAAACACGGACCAAGGAGUUUGACAUGUGUCCGAGUCAACGGGCUAGUAAAUUCGUAAGGCAUAAGGAAUCUGAUUGGUGGGAUCCUCUUGAGGGGUGCACCGCCGACCGACCUUGAUCUUCUGAGAAGGGUUCGAGUGUGAGCAUACCUGUUGGGACGCGAAAGAUGGUGAACUAUGCCUGAGCGGGGAGAAGCUAAAGCAUACUCUAGUGGAGGACCGUUGUGAUACUGACGUGCAAAUCGUUCAUCUGACUUGGGUAUAGGGGCUAAAGACUAAUUGAACCAUCUAGUAGAUAGUUCCCUUCGAAGUUUCCCUCAGAAUAGCUAGAGAUUGGGUGCGAAUUUUAUCGGAUAAAGCCAAUGAUUUGAGGCUUCAUGGGGCAACACCCUGACCAAUUUUCAAACUUUAAUCAGAAGGAUGACGUGACUGCUUUGUUGAGCUGCACUACGGAAUCAAGAACUCCAAGUGGGCCAUUUUUGGUAAGCUGGACUGGCGAUGAGGGAUGAACCAAAAGCCGGCUUACGGUUCCAAACUGCAUUCUAACGAAGAUCCAACAAAGGGUGUUGGUCAAUUAAGACAGCAGGAAAGUGGUCAUAGAAGUCAAAACCUACUAAGGAGUGUGUACCAACUCACUUGCCGAGUAAACUAGCCCCGAAAAUGGAUGGGCGCUUAAGUGCGCGACCUACACUUAGCUGUCGGGGUAAGUGUCCAGACCCCGAUGAGUUGGAGGGGAAUGGCGGUAGCUACAAAACCUUGGGCAUGAGCCUGUGCAGAGAAGCCGUUAAGUGUAGAUCUUUGUGGUAGUAGAAAAU
This 1456-nucleotide non-coding RNA is filed under the name Solanum tuberosum (potato). RNAcentral's name for it is "Eukaryotic large subunit ribosomal RNA". It matches the Rfam family "Eukaryotic large subunit ribosomal RNA", at positions 1 to 1468 of the family's 3401-position model. Lineage: Eukaryota; Viridiplantae; Streptophyta; Magnoliopsida; Solanales; Solanaceae. The record is from Rfam by way of RNAcentral.